AGUAUUUAAGGACAUUUGGAUCCUUGGUUAUCCAACAAUGAAUAUAGAUCUGCUUGAAUCGUUCGGGCAGAACUACCCAGAGGUAAGACACCAGCUCUUAGCACAAUACAUGAGCGUGUUAGAAGCCCGG
RNAcentral lists this long non-coding RNA (130 nucleotides) under Cottoperca gobio. RNAcentral's name for it is "lncRNA (ENSCGOG00000007740.1)". The record is from RNAcentral. Lineage: Eukaryota; Metazoa; Chordata; Actinopteri; Perciformes; Bovichtidae.